AAACAACACAAGCAAAAUAUUAACUAAACAAGUUAAAAAAAAAAUACUAAUUAAUUAAGCAACUAAAAUAAAGACAUGAAAUUUUUUUUUUUCUCAAAUGGGUUAGUGGGCUUUUUGGGCUUUGGUUGGUUGCGGGCCCAUUCUGGUGAAGUGGGUUCUCAACCUGAGUAAACCAGCCGUCCGAUUCAUUCCUUAAAAUCAUCCAAUGGUUUGCUUGGAAACCGAAAAAGCUGAGGUUGCUUCCUUCCUGGGUCAGAGAAGCUCCGUUGAAAAGUCGUGUUCAGCUCUCCAUCCUAUAUAUAUACCCUCCCUUCUCACUCCAUCUUCCACUCUCAUCCUUCCUCAACCAUUUCAGAACAUCAUCUCCUCCGAUCAUAUAUAUUCUUUGAAGCGGUCUUGGAAAUGGCGACGCAGGCCCAAGUAGCAUCUGCUUUGGAGAUCAUCGAACAGCAUUUACUUGGUGAUCUUCUCUCACCUGUUGGUAUCUCUUGUUCCUCUUCUGCUUCUACCACCUCUCUAAUUGAUAAUGUAAACAUGGAGCUUUCCAGCUCUCAGUCUGUGUCUGACUGCUCCC
This 574-nucleotide unclassified non-coding RNA is filed under the name Hevea brasiliensis (rubber tree). Lineage: Eukaryota; Viridiplantae; Streptophyta; Magnoliopsida; Malpighiales; Euphorbiaceae. The record is from RNAcentral.